AGGCGCGCUCGGUGUAUGCGACGACAGAGGUGAGGUCGCCGGAAUAGACUCUCCGUCGGGUUCCCUCUUUUUUUUUAUAGUUUGUGUGCCCUAGCUUGAAAUUUCUUCUUCGGUGAAUCGAGUUUGCUGUCGCGUCUACAUCUCUCGCGCUCUCUUCUAUCUCAAUUUCUAUCUCUCUCAAGCUCUCGCUCACUCUCUUCUCCUUUUUUGCGUAGGUCCCCGUCUCUGUCCGGUGCCGAAUCGUCCCCCGCCGCCGCUAGAAACCUCUCACUCCCUAUCUCCUCUCCUGCUCCAUCUAUCUCUCAAUACAUCUCCCUCUCACACAAAUUCAGUCAUUGGUUUUUCUGUCACCAGAGCGUCGCCGCCGCCUUCAUUAAUCGGCAAGGAUAAAUUUGAGGUGAGUUCUUCCCUUCUUUCCGCUUCAUCAUUUUGUAAACAAAAAUCCCUUGUUCCACUAAAUUACUUGGCAGAAUAAUGGUAUUGAGAAUGGUAUGCAGAUUAAGUGUUCGCCGAAAUGCUUGACAGAAGGUUUAGCUGAAUGGGAAUUUGGUAACGAAGAGAAAUGGUGGAAGGGUGGGGCCCACCGAUUCAAUUUUUUAUUUUUAUAUUUAAAAAGGAC
This 619-nucleotide long non-coding RNA is filed under the name Salvia miltiorrhiza (redroot sage). RNAcentral's name for it is "long non-coding RNA (SMIL_LNC007651)". The record is from RNAcentral. Lineage: Eukaryota; Viridiplantae; Streptophyta; Magnoliopsida; Lamiales; Lamiaceae.